GGAUGUGAGGGCGACCUGGCUGCAACAUCUGUCACCCCAUUGAGCGCAAACGUUGAUCCGGCUGGUCUGGCUGGCUCGGCGGGUAUCUCUUUCCUCCCUUGCCACUCCGUGUGCGUCCCUCCUGAAACUGCAUGCUCAGAGGGUGGCCUUCCCUGAAGAGAGAUGGGCCUCUUUGGUCAUGGGCAUGAGCAGCUGUGCUGCCCUGCUAGAACCUCCAGACGAGCUCUCAAGGUCCAUUUGUAGAACAUAGGAUCAUGCAGCUUCCAGGACUCCAGACACAUCCAAAGGAGGCUGCAUGUGGCAGCGUGCCUUU
This 313-nucleotide small nuclear RNA is filed under the name Sorex araneus (European shrew). RNAcentral's name for it is "7SK RNA (ENSSARG00000014611.1)". It matches the Rfam family "7SK RNA". Rfam says of the family: 7SK was discovered as an abundant small nuclear RNA in the mid-70s but a possible function has only recently been suggested. Two independent studies have found that 7SK RNA binds the CDK9/cyclin T complex (known as elongation factor P-TEFb). Lineage: Eukaryota; Metazoa; Chordata; Mammalia; Eulipotyphla; Soricidae. The record is from RNAcentral.